RNAcentral lists this ribosomal RNA (1010 nucleotides) under Salmonella enterica. Its description in RNAcentral is "partial 23S ribosomal RNA". It matches the Rfam family "Bacterial large subunit ribosomal RNA", at positions 691 to 1698 of the family's 2925-position model. Lineage: Bacteria; Pseudomonadati; Pseudomonadota; Gammaproteobacteria; Enterobacterales; Enterobacteriaceae. The record is from RNAcentral.
GGCGUUAAGUUGCAGGGUAUAGACCCGAAACCCGGUGAUCUAGCCAUGGGCAGGUUGAAGGUUGGGUAACACUAACUGGAGGACCGAACCGACUAAUGUUGAAAAAUUAGCGGAUGACCUGUGGCUGGGGGUGAAAGGCCAAUCAAACCGGGAGAUAGCUGGUUCUCCCCGAAAGCUAUUUAGGUAGCGCCUCGUGAAUUCAUCUCCGGGGGUAGAGCACUGUUUCGGCUAGGGGGCCAUCCCGGCUUACCAACCCGAUGCAAACUGCGAAUACCGGAGAAUGUUAUCACGGGAGACACACGGCGGGUGCUAACGUCCGUCGUGAAGAGGGAAACAACCCAGACCGCCAGCUAAGGUCCCAAAGUCAUGGUUAAGUGGGAAACGAUGUGGGAAGGCCCAGACAGCCAGGAUGUUGGCUUAGAAGCAGCCAUCAUUUAAAGAAAGCGUAAUAGCUCACUGGUCGAGUCGGCCUGCGCGGAAGAUGUAACGGGGCUAAACCAUGCACCGAAGCUGCGGCAGCGACACUCAGGUGUUGUUGGGUAGGGGAGCGUUCUGUAAGCCUGUGAAGGUGGCCUGUGAGGGUUGCUGGAGGUAUCAGAAGUGCGAAUGCUGACAUAAGUAACGAUAAAGCGGGUGAAAAGCCCGCUCGCCGGAAGACCAAGGGUUCCUGUCCAACGUUAAUCGGGGCAGGGUGAGUCGACCCCUAAGGCGAGGCCGAAAGGCGUAGUCGAUGGGAAACGGGUUAAUAUUCCCGUACUUGGUGUUACUGCGAAGGGGGGACGGAGAAGGCUAUGUUGGCCGGGCGACGGUUGUCCCGGUUUAAGCGUGUAGGUGUGUGUUCCAGGUAAAUCCGGUUCACUUUAACACUGAGGCGUGAUGACGAGGCACUACGGUGCUGAAGCAACAAAUGCCCUGCUUCCAGGAAAAGCCUCUAAGCAUCAGGUAACAUCAAAUCGUACCCCAAACCGACACAGGUGGUCAGGUAGAGAAUACCAAGGCGCUUGAGAGAA